AAAACUCAGCUUUGGGGAUCAUUUCUGUAGUUCACUACUAGAGAAGUUUCUCUGAUCUAGUAGAGAACCUAAAACCAUGAGGAGCCAGAACCUCCUUUCCUGAGCAUAAGGUCCAUUCUAGGUGUUGCCUUUGCAGCUGCCUUUUACCAUUGAUGAUCCUUCUUCUCUGCCCUUGGAAGAGUGAGAGGGAGAGGACACAGUCAAGCAUGAUGGC
Small nucleolar RNA from Sorex fumeus (smoky shrew), 214 nucleotides. RefSeq annotates it as small nucleolar RNA U3. NCBI's taxonomy places the organism in Eukaryota, Metazoa, Chordata, Mammalia, Eulipotyphla, Soricidae. The transcript has a single exon. The record is from RefSeq and is a predicted model, not a curated record.